Mesocricetus auratus (golden hamster) is the source of this 1533-nucleotide long non-coding RNA. RefSeq lists it as uncharacterized. The record is from RefSeq and is a predicted model, not a curated record. The transcript has 3 exons. NCBI's taxonomy places the organism in Eukaryota, Metazoa, Chordata, Mammalia, Rodentia, Cricetidae.
CAUCAGCAACCCAACCGACCUGCACGCACCUGGUGGCUGCAGUCCUGCUCUGGCACCUCUCCCUUCCACACAAGCCUUCUUGCUUGUAGUUGUCAUCAGGGCAGUAGCCGUUAACUCACCUUCAGCACACUGCUAAGCUUUCAGUACAGUGCUGCUGAGUGUCGACACACUACAGUGCAGGCUUCUGGGCUCAUUUGUCGUGUCUCCCUUGAGCUCCUAACCUCUGACGUUUUCAACCCUGGAAGCUUCCAUUCCCCACUCUGUCCGUGUAUUUCAAACGCUUUAUGCAUGCACAGUCAGUCAUUCAGUAUCUAUCGUACUUAGUAAGUGCCCUCAAGCCCAAGCCAUCUUAAGUAUUCACCAGCCUUUGCUUCAGUCCUAAAAGCAACCUAACUUCAAUUAUCAGGUUUUGUUUUGAUGAAAAGUAAAAAUCAAACACGUUUUCUAUUGUGAAAGCAAAGAAUGAUAGUCGGUAUGAUAGUGGGUAGGAAGAAACAAAAAGAAAAAAUUAAAAGGGUAUCUGUACUUGUUUCUUCCUAAGAAGCAAAGAUUCUCGUCGAGUCUGCCUAUUGAUUCUACCCUCUGAGACAACAGAGAUAUGAUUCCCUUGCUUGCAGUCACUUGUUCAGCCAAAUGACCUUGACUUUCCUGGCUGGAAAAGAACCCUGCCUGCAAAUCAUCACAGCUAAGGUAACCACGUUUUUAUAAGUAACUGAACAAAACACAGAAGUCCUCUGCAGUAACCAAAAGGCAGCUACUUAAUGAUGGUCAACUGUUGCUCGUUAUCUCCUAUAAGCUGACAGACAAAUUUCCAUCUGCUUGUUAAGUUUGUGCUCUUACAUUAUAGUUUUGAGAUAGGAGUUAUCAUCGGUAGUCCAUCCGGGUUAUCGUUUCCUUUUCCCUGGCCUGCCUCUGACUGCUGGGUUUUGCCUUGUGGCAAUCAAUCCCGGGUCACCUGUAAACACAACCUUCUCGGCCAUCUCCAGUUUGCUUUUUAGCCAUCUCAAGGGCAUCUUAAAGCUUGUGCUUUUGAUGUCUGUCGGGGGCAGGGGGUUGUAAAGUCACACCAAGGCUUGUCACUGCCAGUUGAAGCUUGUGGAGAUCUCCCUGCCCAAGGAUCCAGUCUGUGUGUGUAAGGACUGGGCCAGGGGUGGGUGGAGAGAGACCUCGAGGGCCCGCACAAGUCCUGUGUCCUCCAAGCAGGUUUGGGCAUGGUGGUGGUGGCCGCCUGGGACACUCUGUCCCUCUGGCUUGGCUCACUUUGGGGGAAAAGGAAACCGCCUUCCCACAAGGCGAAUCAUUCUAACGGGUUUCCCGUCGGAUUCCUGCUUCCACGAGGCGCAGGACACGGGGGAAUGAAAAAGGAGGUGGGCCCAGAGGACAGGGGUUAGGGCAGCAGGAGAAGGAUGCUCAGGGAUCUCCUCCUGCCCGCCAGGGGUGGGGAACCGAGCCCAGGAGCGCGAGGCACUGAGACCGCAGCCCCGGCGCCCCGCCCCCGCCCCGGGCGCCCCGCCCCCGCCCCGGGCGCCCCGC